UUCUCUCCACCUUCCCUUGCUCCCUCCCACCUAUAUAUGGGGUCUCUCUGCCGAUGGAUGCCGUAGGGUGUAAGAGGAUGACUUAAUUUCAUUCCAAACCCUUGAGUAAUCAAUCAGUUUCAUCCCUUUACAGUUGAUUUGUCGAUUUAUAGAAGCAAGGUUCGUAGAUUGCCUUCAAUCUGCUGUUCGUCAAACCUAGGUCACUGAUUUCAAAAUUGGAUGGUUUCGAGGUUAAGGAGUCGGUUUUUAUAGUGGUGAGCCGGUGACGUGGUGGCGUUGAAGAAGCAAAGGCUGUGGAGACGGUGGUGCUUGGAUCGCUGUUUGGGCUCUGAGACUGAUGACAAUCCACACAAUUUCAUGAUUUUUGCAAAGAAACUGAUGGUGCCAAUUGCUCUACUCUUAGUCGUGUGGAUGAACUGGAAUCAUCCUGUUAUUCUUGGAGUUAAAGUGAUACUUACUCUUCUCAGUACAGUAUAAAACCCAACCCCUUCUCAGUUUAUGUAUUCAUUAAACAGGGACAUUGGAAGACAUGAAGAGUGGUGGAUCAAAAUGAAAAGAUAGUAGUCAAAGCAAGGAUGAGGAUAUACUGCGAAGUAAAGGUGAAUAAUCUAUUUGAUAUUAUUUACAUUGGAUUAAGAUAGGUUACUAUUUUUGAAUUUUAAUAUGUAAUCCAACAUGAGAAAUAUUGUAUAUAUCCCUUAGAGAUGCAGUCAUAUUUCAAGUUGUACUAUGAAUUCAACAACUUCCAAAUUAGUUUGUAUAAGUUUUAAUGUACCACCAAACUUCUAGCGACUAAUUCAUUUA
This is a long non-coding RNA of Helianthus annuus (common sunflower), 804 nucleotides long. RefSeq lists it as uncharacterized. The record is from RefSeq and is a predicted model, not a curated record. The transcript is spliced from 3 exons. Lineage: Eukaryota; Viridiplantae; Streptophyta; Magnoliopsida; Asterales; Asteraceae.